GACGAACGCUGGCGGCGUGCUUAACACAUGCAAGUCGAGCGGUAAGGCCCUUUCGGGGGUACACGAGCGGCGAACGGGUGAGUAACACGUGGGUGACCUGCCCUCAGCUCUGAGAUAAGCCUGGGAAACUGGGUCUAAUACCGGAUAUGACUCCAUGACGCAUGUUGUGGGGUGGAAAGCCUUGUGCGGCUGAGGAUGGGCCCGCGGCCUAUCAGCUUGUUGGUGGGGNGAUGGCCUACCAAGGCGACGACGGGUAGCCGGCCUGAGAGGGCGACCGGCCACACUGGGACUGAGACACGGCCCAGACUCCUACGGGAGGCAGCAGUGGGGAAUCUUGCGCAAUGGGCGAAAGCCUGACGCAGCGACGCCGCGUGAGGGAUGACGGCCUGGUGU
RNAcentral lists this ribosomal RNA (393 nucleotides) under uncultured bacterium. RNAcentral describes it as "bacterial SSU rRNA". It matches the Rfam family "Bacterial small subunit ribosomal RNA", at positions 28 to 422 of the family's 1533-position model. The record is from RNAcentral.